UUGGAAGUAAAAGUCGUAACAAGGUCUCCGUUGGUGAACCUGCGGAGGGAUCAUUACUGA
RNAcentral lists this ribosomal RNA (60 nucleotides) under Colletotrichum truncatum. RNAcentral's name for it is "partial 18S ribosomal RNA". It matches the Rfam family "Eukaryotic small subunit ribosomal RNA", at positions 1776 to 1831 of the family's 1831-position model. Lineage: Eukaryota; Fungi; Ascomycota; Sordariomycetes; Glomerellales; Glomerellaceae. The record is from RNAcentral.